GGGAUGAAGUUUGGAAUAUCUGGACAUGGACCGGUCUUCUUGUGGUUUGUGGUUUGUGGUUUGGGUCUGCAGUCAUCCUGGACUGUCUUAAAAAACACAGUUCCACUGAGUUUAUUUUAAAGAUCUUAUUGGCUUCAUUCAACAAUUUUCGGGUAGUAGUCAAUGUAGCAGAUAGAAAGGACUCCAAGGAGCUGUACAAAAUGAAAGACUUUUAUGGGCAAAAGAGAGCAAGACAUGAAUGUUCUGCUAGACAAAAGAAAAGCAGGUUGGGCUACGACAAGGUCACUUUUCUUUAAGGGAUGGCAGGGAUGUCUCAGCCAGGUGACCUAACUAGUCCUGAUCAGACGAUUCCUGAUUAAUUUGUGGCUCCAUUUCUGGGAGAGCAGAAACGAAUGGAGGUGAGUCUCGGUGUGGUGAUGUGGACUUAGCAGAAGCAGCUCCAUGCUGGGCCGUCUGCCUUGUUUUAACAACUACAGCAACAGUCCACUCAGCUUGACCAUCCCUCUCUUCCUCCUGCAAUAGCCCAACACAGAUGGGGCUGAUCAAGUUUAUCACUUAAUAAUCUUGAGGGCAGGGCUUUGGCCAAGGACAGGUCAUAGGACCCACACAGCCAAGCAGAAUUCACUUUUGAGGGGGUCUCUAUUCCAGGUGCUGGAUGAGAAAGGCUCCUUUUUUUCCCCCAAGGGUGCUGAGCUGGGACUUGUCCCAUGGAGUGGAGGGCGACACCGGGACCGCGGGCUAUGCAGAGACCAGCAGAGCUUCCGGAGCAGACAGAGACGAGGGUCAGGUUGUUCCUAUCCUUCCUGAUUCUCUGAGCUGCCCCAGACUGCUUUCCAAAUGGUGGGAUGGCACAGGAAAUUAUUCACCACCAGUUUGCCUUCUCCCCGAGCCAAAGACAUAUUGGGAGUGACCUAGAGCAUGGACUCGGGCUGCCAAUGGAUGAAGCAAUGAAGUGAAAAUCACCAUCUGUUAAGUGGAAAUGAGAGCCGCUGAGAGGAACCUGGAGGAAGCGGCUUGUCUCAAAGCAGAACCCCGAGACGGGUGUCCGCACAAACCGUGGCG
Molecule: long non-coding RNA, 1062 nt
Organism: Bos indicus x Bos taurus (hybrid cattle)
Lineage: Eukaryota; Metazoa; Chordata; Mammalia; Artiodactyla; Bovidae
Source: Ensembl